Molecule: non-coding RNA, 145 nt
Organism: Gossypium raimondii (Peruvian cotton)
Lineage: Eukaryota; Viridiplantae; Streptophyta; Magnoliopsida; Malvales; Malvaceae
Source: Rfam
UAUUAAAAAUUUUAUCUAUUUAUACGGUUAAAAAUUGAAGUGGCUAAUGGAAUAAUCAAAUAGUGACAUGUGGCGUGCUAUUUGUACCUCAUAUUGAUGUUUAGGGAUUAAAUUUUAACAUUAAAAAUGGAUAACAAUUUUAACA